This 478-nucleotide ribosomal RNA is filed under the name uncultured bacterium. RNAcentral describes it as "partial 16S ribosomal RNA". It matches the Rfam family "Bacterial small subunit ribosomal RNA", at positions 28 to 523 of the family's 1533-position model. The record is from RNAcentral.
GACGAACGCUGGCGGCGUGCUUAACACAUGCAAGUCGAACGGUAAGGCCCUUCGGGGUACACGAGUGGCGAACGGGUGAGUAACACGUGGGUGAUCUGCCCUGCACUUCGGGAUAAGCCUGGGAAACUGGGUCUAAUACCGGAUAGGACCAUUGCCUGCAUGGGUGGUGGUGGAAAGCUUUUGCGGUGUGGGAUGGGCCCGCGGCCUAUCAGCUUGCUGGUGGGGUGAUGGCCUACCAAGGCGACGACGGGUAGCCGGCCUGAGAGGGUGACCGGGCACACUGGGACUGAGAUACGGCCCAGACUCCUACGGGAGGCAGCAGUGGGGAAUAUUGCACAAUGGGCGCAAGCCUGAUGCAGCGACGCCGCGUGAGGGAUGACGGCCUUCGGGUUGUAAACCUCUUUCAGCACCGACGAAGCGCAAGUGACGGUAGGUGCAGAAGAAGGACCGGCCAACUACGUGCCAGCCGCCGCGGUAA